CUGUCCUGCCAUAAGUCUGUGACAGAAUAGCGGCCCUCACCAGUGAAUUCAGUUGGGGUUUUCAUGUUCAACUCACAAGGACUGUCUGCUACAAAAUGUCUGCUCACUGGAGGAGUAUGUGGAGGAGUUUUUGGAACUGUAUCACAAGUCAUGAUUGAAUGAUGAAGCUCUCAAAUACUUAGAUUACAUCCUCUACCAGAUGCUGCUUAUGAAUAAGGGUCAUCGGCCACUGGUGGAAUUAAUUGAUAACACCCUAUGGGUAUGUGGAUCAUCAUACACCUUGGGUGCGGUGGAGGAGCUUACUGCCACUCUUCCCAGAACCACUGUCACCUUCAGUACUCAUCACCACACCUGCUCCAAUUCUGAAACUGCCAUCGUCCAGCACUGACCUUCCUCACAUUCCAGAGCCCAUACCUGCCACAGACCCAGAGCCCAUGCCAAAGAUGUAGAGGAGCCUGCCACAAUGUCUGUCCCAGAGCCUGAGCCUGCCACCCAGUUGAGCUAGAGUGGCUUAUUGACCUGCAUGCCACAGAGCCAGUUCCCACACUUGUCUCCGCCCUCUAACCUCUUUCUCCUCUGCCGGUCAAGUCCUGCUGGCUUGAUGUCCUGGUUCUUCUUGGAGUCCUUCCUCUCCUGUUGAUUUCAUCCAACCUUCAAGCCUUUUCAUCUCCAUUGGUUCCGUCCAAUCCCUAAGCUUCCUUGUCUUGGCCACAGAGGCCAUCCCAAGUUAACUUGGCCAUAGAGGCUGUUCCAAGUUUUCAUCAUCUCAGCCAUGGGGGCCAUCCCAAGUUUCCUUGUUUUGGCCAUUCAAAGCUCCUUCACCCCGCUGGUUUCAUCGAGUUCAUCGGCUCUAUCAUUCCUCCAGCUCUGCCUUGAUGCCUUGGGCAUCACCCUGGAUCCACCACGGGCUUCCAGGCCUCUGGCUGCUUCUCAGCCCUCUACCCCUUCGGCCCCACCAGGUUCCGCCUUCCCUUCGACUCCACUAUUGUCCUCAAUCACUCCGACUCGACUACGGUCUUCCAAGCACCAGGCUCCGCCUGAGUUCUGCCCUUCAGACCAACUGUGCCAUCCUGGGUCCUCGGCUACUGUCACGGUUUCCCUCUGUUCUCCCUCACCAGCAUGUCACACCAUACUCUCUGUGCUGAUCACUCAUUGUCAAUCAUCUCUUCAUCAAGGAUUGUUUCAAGCUCACACACAAACACACUGGUUGUCUACCGUCCUCAUUGUUCACCUCAUUAUUUCCUCAGUCUUGACUCCUUUCCUGUGAUUACCACCUGCAAACCUCAAACCUUCCAUUGACAAAUAAACACAAAAUCUCAAGCAUACUGUAUAAACAUUAAUAUCCACAUAAAAUAAAUUCACAGACACAAGUGUUUUCCAAUGACUAAAUGUGUGAUCAUGUAACAACAUUUUUAAGAGUAUUUCCCUUUAUUAAUAAACAUACUGAGAAGGUGGGAGAACAUCUUACCUCAUUUGUGUUACAUGGGAAUCAAACUCAUGUUGGCACUACUAGUAUAAUCUACUGUUUUUGUAUCCUUUGUUUCUGCAGUUGCUGCAUCGUCUGUGUAAUUUUAUUGUGGAUAAACACAGUGUCUCUGCAGGUCACAGUAGAGGGUGUUAUUGGCAGUUCUGUUGUCCUUCCAUGUUCUUCCAAAGAUGAUCAUAAACUUCAAGACAGUGAUGUGCAUUGGAGACGCAAUAAUGAUGAUAUUGUAUAUAGUAUAAUCAAGGGUAAAGAUUCAGAAUUGGGACAGGACCCACGGUACAAGAACAGAGUUGAAACGUUCCCAAAGGAAUAUAAGAGAGGAAACUUCUCCAUCAAACUCAACAAUCUUCAACACACAGACGCAGGAAAAUACAUCUGUUACAUCACAUGCUCAUCUGAUCUUCCUACUGUUCUGUUGCUCAUCAAUGAAUCAACAGCAGAAAAAGGAAACAAAUCCAUUGAACAAGAAAGCCAAGGAGAAGAUACAGGAGCAGACAGUGUGGAGAAUCCAUUCCCUGUCCUUCAUAGGACAAGAUAUGCUACUAUCAUUGCCUUUGUAUUACUUAUAAUUGCCUGUUUUAUUAUGUUUCUUUUAAGAAAAAU
Long non-coding RNA from Sinocyclocheilus rhinocerous, 2089 nucleotides. RefSeq lists it as uncharacterized. The record is from RefSeq and is a predicted model, not a curated record. Lineage: Eukaryota; Metazoa; Chordata; Actinopteri; Cypriniformes; Cyprinidae. The transcript is spliced from 3 exons.